Long non-coding RNA from Aethalodelphis obliquidens (Pacific white-sided dolphin), 263 nucleotides. RefSeq lists it as uncharacterized. NCBI's taxonomy places the organism in Eukaryota, Metazoa, Chordata, Mammalia, Artiodactyla, Delphinidae. The transcript is spliced from 2 exons. The record is from RefSeq and is a predicted model, not a curated record.
UGCACGUGGGGGUCACACAGGGAGUCAAAAACACCAACCCCGGUGCUGGACCCCGGACCCCGAAAAUCUCCGAGAACGGGGCAUGAGCUCUGACUUUGAAGCCCCCCAGGAUUCUAAAGCAGAUGCUGGGGCAGGAAGAUGGAAAGAACGUGGGUGCUCAAUGAUGUCCAUCCUUGACCACGGAAACUGAGAACCCCAAAGCUGCUCCGUCUCAGGACUUCCCCCUUUUGUGGAAAUAAUAAAUGUCUUCAUUGUUAAACGGC